CCGAUGUUAAAGGAAAAUUCAACGUAAUAAACAGAGUGAUGUCCCAGCAGAAAACUAGCAAACAAAAAUCAUCCAAAUCAUAAAAAUUAAAUCAAAUACGAAAUGAAACGUUAGCGAAAAGAACAAUAUCGGAAAGGAAAACAAACCUUUAUUGCUGCGUAUUUUCUGCCAUGAACAGUGAAAGAAGAUCUCAAUAACAACAAAUCAAAACAAGCGAAUUACUAAUCCAAACCUCGAUGAAUCCUGCCCCCGGCAGACAAAACUCAAACGGUAAUACCUCAGUCGAACUCCAGUAUUUGCAAAACCAAAGUUCCGAAAUACAAACUGAAACAUAAACUAAAAAAACUUCUUCUAUUGCUUGGCUUCGACGAUAGUUUCUGGACUUAGUCGGAACAAGGAUGAUGAAACGUUAGGGGUCCGCUAAUGGAUUUCCGGCCAGAUCCUGCCAUAGACGAUGACGAUGUAGUAGUGUCUCCAAGAGAAGAGAGAUAAGGACGUGUUCUGCUGAAGAAGAUGAAGUGCUGGUGGCAGGGAGGGUCGUGUUCUUGGUUUAUGCCGCUGAAGAAAAAAUGAAAAAAGUGGGGGGAAGGGUCGACGAAGACGAUCUUCAAGGGGAGGGGGGGUCCUGUUUUGCGGCGAAUUGUCAGUUUUUAGUCUAAGGAUCUUAGGUUAGCUCCCUGAAGUAUAGGUUGAAAUACUAUUUCCUUUAGAUCUUAGGCGUAUUUUGGGUUAGCUUUUUGCAGAUCAGAUCGUGGGAGGGGUUUUUCAUUUUUGCUGAAAACGGUCGAUGCCAAUUCUAGAUCUUUUUUUUCUUUGCACUUUUCGGC
Molecule: long non-coding RNA, 827 nt
Filed under: Nicotiana tabacum (common tobacco)
Lineage: Eukaryota; Viridiplantae; Streptophyta; Magnoliopsida; Solanales; Solanaceae
Description: long non-coding RNA (NTAB_LNC004794)
Source: RNAcentral